RNAcentral lists this ribosomal RNA (484 nucleotides) under uncultured bacterium. RNAcentral describes it as "partial 16S ribosomal RNA". It matches the Rfam family "Bacterial small subunit ribosomal RNA", at positions 29 to 507 of the family's 1533-position model. The record is from RNAcentral.
AUUGAACGCUGGCGGCAUGCUUUACACAUGCAAGUCGAACGGCAGCGCGGGCUUCGGCCUGGCGGCGAGUGGCGUACGGGUGAGUAAUACAUCGGAACGUGCCCAGUAGUGGGGGAUAGCUCGGCGAAAGCCGGAUUAAUACCGCAUACGACCUGAGGGUGAAAGCGGGGGAUCUUCGGACCUCGCGCUAUUGGAGCGGCCGAUGGCAGAUUAGCUAGUUGGUGGGGUAAAGGCCUACCAAGGCGACGAUCUGUAGCUGGUCUGAGAGGACGACCAGCCACACUGGGACUGAGGCACGGCCCAGACUCCUACGGGAGGCAGCAGUGGGGAAUUUUGGACAAUGGGCGAAAGCCUGAUCCAGCAAUGCCGCGUGUGUGAUGAAGGCCUUCGGGUUGUAAAGCACUUUUGGCGGGAACGAAAAGGACUGUGCCAAUACCACGGUUCGAUGACGGUACCCGCAGAAUAAGCACCGGCUAACUACGUG